AGUGAACGCUGGCGGUAGGCCUAACACAUGCAAGUCGAACGGCAGCACAGUAAGAGCUUGCUCUUACGGGUGGCGAGUGGCGGACGGGUGAGGAAUACAUCGGAAUCUACUUUUUCGUGGGGGAUAACGUAGGGAAACUUACGCUAAUACCGCAUACGACCUACGGGUGAAAGCAGGGGAUCUUCGGACCUUGCGCGAUUGGAUGAGCCGAUGUCGGAUUAGCUAGUUGGCGGGGUAAAGGCCCACCAAGGCGACGAUCCGUAGCUGGUCUGAGAGGACGAUCAGCCACACUGGAACUGAGACACGGUCCAGACUCCUACGGGAGGCAGCAGUGGGGAAUAUUGGACAAUGGGCGCAAGCCUGAUCCAGCCAUACCGCGUGGGUGAAGAAGGCCUUCGGGUUGUAAAGCCCUUUUGUUGGGAAAGAAAAGCAGCAGGUUAAUACCCCGCUGUUCUGACGGUACCCAAAGAAUAAGCACCGGCUAACUUCGUG
RNAcentral lists this ribosomal RNA (492 nucleotides) under uncultured bacterium. Its description in RNAcentral is "partial 16S ribosomal RNA". It matches the Rfam family "Bacterial small subunit ribosomal RNA", at positions 29 to 507 of the family's 1533-position model. The record is from RNAcentral.